RNAcentral lists this ribosomal RNA (99 nucleotides) under Streptomyces sp. 4F. The record is from RNAcentral. Lineage: Bacteria; Bacillati; Actinomycetota; Actinomycetes; Kitasatosporales; Streptomycetaceae.
UUCGGUGGUCAUAGCGUAGGGGAAACGCCCGGUUACAUUCCGAACCCGGAAGCUAAGCCUUACAGCGCCGAUGGUACUGCAGGGGGGACCCUGUGGGAG